CUCUACACGCCUAGCCUCUCUUUUUUCCUUUCUUCUUUCUCUUCACCAUUUCAGCAAGAAAGCUCUUCCAUCUCACUAGAAAAUCUGAAAAAGAAACCUCCCUCUCUCCUCACAAGAACUUCAUUAGAGCACCUCCAAACUUUAGCUCAUCAAAGAGGUAAGUUUCUCAUGAACAUUUCUUGCUCUUCUUCCCUUCUCUUGGCUGAGCACCCUUGGGUGCUUUCUCAUUUCAUUUUUUUAGUUGGAGCUCUAUCAAACUCAGAUCAUGUAUGUUUGAAAGAGUAGGAAUCCAUUUCAAGUAGGGAAAUGAGCUAAAAGCUUGUGCAUGCAAGCCUUAUUGUGAAAAGAAAAAUUCAAGAUGUUAAGAGGAUAGAGGAGUGGUUCGAAAAGGUCAAUGACGCAUAAGAAACAAAACCUAGAACUUCAAAGGUAAAAAUCUUGUGUUUUGGUAAUAGUUUAUGUUUAAUCUUCCAAUCUGCGUUUUUGAGAUGCAUGGAAGGUUUUGAUCUCUUGUUUAUGUUUUAAUAAGGUGUGUGAUAGCAUUAGAUGAUGCAUGCAUGUGUGCAAUGUGAAUAUUUUAGUGGAAAUCCAAAAUUUCCAUAGGAAGUUAUAAAAAUUUCUUGCUGCCAGAUUUAAUAGGUAACAUCCAAUGAGUUAAACCCUGAUUUUACAAUCUGUUCUCAUAAAAAGGUUUUCACCAAUGUUAAAUAUGGGAAGAGUACAUAAGUUUAGGCUUUUGAAACACUUAAAAAUGUUUUCUAAAGUAGGAGUUAUGACCCUUGCAAAAUCCAUACUCAAUCUGAAAUCUAAUCCUGGUAGCUUGCACUUAAAUUUUUGAAAAAUAUUAUUGAACAUGCUAUGUUUACAUUUAGGAGCUAAUAUUUGGUAAACUUUUAGUAGAUAUAUUGAAUAGGAAGCAUGUAAUACAGAUUUGUUAAAUUCAUUAUGGUUUGUGAGUUGUGAAUUUUCUAACUAAGAUAGUCAAAAUUGUUUGCUGUCAAGAUAGUGUUGUUACAGAGUUUUCAACUUGCCAAACUUUAUAUUAUUGGUCAAACUUUCAAAUGAGACUUCCAGCAUUUCAUUUUUUAAGAAGAGUACUUCAAUUUAGCAUUUUAAAGUACUAAAAAAUAUUCAUGUACCAAUGAUCACACCAAAAUAAUGAUGAAACGUACUUUUGUUAUCAAUUUAUUUUACAGUAUUUAUUAGGUAUUUAGGUGCAACUUUCAGCCUAAUUUAUUGGCUUUCACCUCAAAUAUCCCAAAUCAUGAUUACACAAAUAUCAAAUUAUAAUUGUGGAAUUCCCUGUAUGACUUACUAUAUCUUCAAUUUUUUUUGCAAUUUAAUUAAAAUUUUUGAAAUAAUUAUAUGCAAAAGGAAUAUCAGUAGCACAAUUACUUAAAAUUUUAGAUUUGUUACAGAUAUAUUGCUUUUUUUAAAACGAUAAAACUAUCAAAAUCUAUUUUUUUGUGUGACGUUAACAUCUUAUCCAUUAACUCCUAAAAUGUGCAAUAUAAUUAAUUUUUUUGCCCAUAUAAAUGUUACAAAUCUAGAAUUUUGGGUUGUUACAUAAUUAAGGAUUUUAAGUUUUUUAUUUUUUAUUUUUUUUAUGAAUCCUUUCAAUAUAUAUUUUUUUUCAACAAAGCGGCUAAAGCGUAUAAGUUAAUAAGUUACCUAAAAUUAUUCUUUAAAAAAAACCAAAAUUGUGAAUUUAUUGCACUUAUAUACCAAAAAAGUUAAUCAUGUUGCAAAAAUAGUGUAACCCUAUUUUAGAGUAACAUUUUGAGGCAUGGUUUAUUGAGACUCACUUGUUAUUAGUGAGAUGUCUUUGGAGAUUUGUAUUCUCCUCCACGAGUACAUAAAUAUCAAGUAUCAAUAUGCUCAAAAUAGUUAUGGGGUGAAUGAGAAAUUGUCACUUAAAGUAGGCAAAAUGAUAAGGGAAAAUAAUGUGAUUUGUGUUAAUUCAACAUGAAAAUUUAAGUACCCUUUUAAAUUGGUAUAUAUAUAAUUUCAUAUCCUUAUCAUGGUAAGUUGAUAAACAACGAGACUCUCUCUUACAUGCACAGAGGAUGCAAAUCAUUGUGGGUGAAGAAAAAACACAUUAAACUUGUGUGCGCUAUUGAGUCCUACAAGCAUGAAUGUAUGCCCAUAAAGCCCGGUCUAUGUUGGACUUGUUUUGCAACCCAGCAUUAAUUUUUUCCUUAAAAGUCAACAAAAAAAUUAUAGAACACUCUAAACAUGAGUCUGGAAGAUCUCCUCUUGGCUUGCACGAAAAUUGCUUCAUAAUAAUCAAUUUUGGGUAGUUACCCAAAAUUAAAUUUUUGGGCAGUUACCCAAUUUUGUUUGCUUGAUUCUCAUCCUCUUGGCCCCCCUUAAAGGCUAUAAAUAGAGGGCUUGACCUCAUUGUUUGACACAUCAUUCGAAAAUCUCUCUCUUAAAUUUUGAAACUCUCUCUUUCUCUUGAUAAAACUCUCUUGGUUCCUGGUUGAACCUCCUUUGAGUUCAUACCAUAUGGCGUUGUAGCUCUCUUAGUCCUCAGUCACAUCUUGAUGGUGUUCUUAGGCAUUGGUCAGUUCGUUGGGAGUAGAAGCAAGGUGCUUAGCUGCUGCUCAUAGACCAUUUUAUCAUGGGAGACAAACGCCGUUAGCAAUCCUCUAGCACCCCGUGAGGAGGCAUAAUUGUUUUAAGGAGAUAGUAUGGAACACUAGACUCGGUUUCACACAAAAACGAUAUUUAUAAUACAUAUGCUUUAUUUUAUUUUGAUA
Long non-coding RNA from Humulus lupulus (European hop), 2762 nucleotides. RefSeq lists it as uncharacterized. The record is from RefSeq and is a predicted model, not a curated record. NCBI's taxonomy places the organism in Eukaryota, Viridiplantae, Streptophyta, Magnoliopsida, Rosales, Cannabaceae. The transcript is spliced from 2 exons.